GCUGGGCGUGGUGGUGCAUGCCUGUAAUCCCAGCUACUUGGGAGGCUGAGGCAGGAGAAUCGCUUGAACCCAGGAAGUGGAGGUUGCAGUGAGCCAAGAUUGUGCCACUGCACUCCAGCCUGGGCAACAAGAGUGAAACUCUGCCUCAA
This 149-nucleotide small RNA is filed under the name Macaca fascicularis (crab-eating macaque). Its description in RNAcentral is "Metazoan signal recognition particle RNA (ENSMFAG00000065455.1)". Lineage: Eukaryota; Metazoa; Chordata; Mammalia; Primates; Cercopithecidae. The record is from Rfam by way of RNAcentral. RNAcentral also lists the same sequence under 1 other name.